RNAcentral lists this ribosomal RNA (488 nucleotides) under uncultured bacterium. RNAcentral describes it as "SSU rRNA". It matches the Rfam family "Bacterial small subunit ribosomal RNA", at positions 27 to 518 of the family's 1533-position model. The record is from RNAcentral.
GGGACGAACGCUGGCGGCGCGCCUAACACAUGCAAGUCGAGCGAGAACCGGGACUUCGGUCCCGGGGGCAGCGGCGAACGGGUGAGUAACACGUGGAUAACCUGCCCUCGGCACCGGAAUAGCCCGGGGAAACCCGGAUUAAUGCCGGAUAGCCCCACAUCCCUGCGGGGAACGUGGGAAAAGGUAGCUUCGGCCUCUGGCCGAGGAUGGGUCCGCGGUGGAUUAGCUUGUUGGUGCGGGUAAUGGCCCACCAAGGCGACGAUCCAUAGCUGGUCUGAGAGGACGAUCAGCCACACUGGGACUGAGACACGGCCCAGACUCCUACGGGAGGCAGCAGUGGGGAAUCUUGCGCAAUGGGCGAAAGCCUGACGCAGCGACGCCGCGUGAGGGAUGACGGCCUUCGGGUUGUAAACCUCUUUCAGCAGGGACGAAGCGAAAGUGACGGUACCUGCAGAAGAAGGACCGGCCAACUACGUGCCAGCAGCCGC